Lytechinus pictus (painted urchin) is the source of this 6739-nucleotide long non-coding RNA. RefSeq lists it as uncharacterized. The transcript has 6 exons. The record is from RefSeq and is a predicted model, not a curated record. Lineage: Eukaryota; Metazoa; Echinodermata; Echinoidea; Temnopleuroida; Toxopneustidae.
UCAAGCCAUAUGCAACUUUGCAAGAGCGAGCUGAGAGUGGAUUAUGAAAGUUGUUUUCUUUCUUGUAUUAAGCCAGGAUAAUUUAGAGAUAUACGGUCCAGAUUUUAACUUGCUGUCUACGAUACCCAAUCUACGAUACCCAACUGUGUCUCCUGCAGUAACUCUGUUAGAUUAGCUUAGCUCACCGGUGACCUAAUACUAAACAGGCAAUCAAGAAUUCAAGCCUGACGCCCACAGAUCUGAACCGCUGUGAAGCCCCUACCACCAAGACCAAUCACACUGACCCAUGGCCCUGACGACUAGACGGCGGCAGCUCCGGACAUCAGAUCAGGGGCCUGUUUCAUAAAGAGUUACAAGUAACAUUGCCGUUAUGGCAACUACCAUGAUAAUAAGGCUCAGCAGCCAAUCAUAAUCAAGAUUUCCAUGGAAGUUACAAUAAUGACAAAGUUACGAUAGUUGUAAGUCUUUAUGAAAUGGGCCCCUGAGCAUCAGCUCACCUGCAAAGCUCGGACGCAAAGCAAUCAGAUCGAUCAGAAUGUCAAGCAAGCAGAGUGCUAUCCAUGAAAAUAUAACCCUAAAGGGGUCAUCCGGUAGAAGUGCCUGAAAAGGAAGCAUGGAAUAUGGAGAUAGAUUGUAAAGAAGUCAUCGUCAUGAUGGAGGAUGAACUCAACAAACUCGGGUCAGAGGUCAAGAAAGUACCUGUAAAUAUGCCACCAGAACCAGUGCCAUUAUAACAAGGGAGAGAAUGCUAGUAGAGGGACAAAUGGAUUUCGAAACAACUUGUCAUCUUGCCAAACAUGAAGGACCAGUCAACUUCCCCCAAGGCUGAGAAGACGGUGAAGGCUGUGAAAGCACUGGUUGAACUCCUGUCACUCGGUGUACAAUAUGGAUCCACCCCCUAUCUGGUGCUAACCAUCUUCGAAGCAGAAAUCAGAGGGAUAGUCUACCAGAGACAAGGACAUGACAGCAAUCUUCAAGUCUUUAUUUACACAGAAUGUCUGGUGUGAACAGUUACUGGUCUUUGCGUGAAGUGUAAUCAACAUUAGAAUGGCUUCGACACCAAACACUUCAUAUAGCACCCAUCUUGUGUUGAUAAUGCUCCUAGUAUUCAUGAUAGAGAUAGUAAUACAGGGAUUUGCACUUGACGCCAGUCAUUAUCUACACUCUAGUGUCUGGUGUUGGCCCUAUUUUAACUGGGCUUUCUCCAGAUCAAGUUUUUAUUGAUAGAGUGUAGAUGAUGUUUCCUGUUAUGUGUAAUGCUAUGUGGAUCAUUACUCCCAUGAAUAUCUAGAAUAAGGUAAAACCUUAAUAAUGGGGAGGGGGGUUUGGGUUCAUCAGACUGAAUGACUAAAUAUCAGUUCAAAUUUUAAUUCAAUUAUUGAAAACAAUUUUAGUAUUAAAUAUGUGAAUCGCAUAUAUGCAUUCACUACUGAUGAACUGAUGAACCCAUUUGGAUAUUUGGAUACAUAUUUACGAUGACUUUUGUGUAGCUCUAAGGAGCAGGUCCAAGCUAUCAUUUCUUUACCUAUAGUGUAGGAAUAUAAUAGUUUUUGGAGAUAUUUGUGGGGUUAAUAGUAACCAAUUUGAUCUUAAUGAAUUUGGUAUUUGUGUUUAUAUUGUACUGACUUUUCUGCAUGAGUGGAUCCAAAGUUGUCCACAGUUUUUUGCCAUAGAGUGUUAUCUCUAGUGUUUCACUCUGGAUCUACUUGUCGUAGAACUGGUCCGGGGGGGGGGGGGGGGGUGGGGAGAGUUGGGGGUUGGGCAGACUAUUCUGCAAAAGUGGAUCCAAAGGUUUUUCCAGAGUUUUUCCCUAUUGAGUUUUAUCUCUGGUUUUUUACCCUGGGUCUACUUGUCGUAGAACAUGUCGGGGGGGGGGGGGAUGGGGUGGGGGUAGGGGUAGGGGUAGGGGUAGGGUGUAUGCAUUUGUAAGAGGAUGAUCUUAUCAGAUUUCAGGAUCAGGGGUCAAAGGUCACAAAUGUCAUUAAUUAAAAAUAUUAGAAGUUGGGUGUGUAAUAUAUUCUAGACCUGGCAAUAGCAGAGGCAUAAAUUUUGAUGGCGUGCAGUCAAGAAUCCCAUCUUUUUCUAUCAAACUUUGCAUGGUCCCAUUUAUGAUUCCAGUCAUGUGGGGUUUUUUGUAGUAUAUAGUCUAUAUUUGAAAAUUACUUUUAUAAAUAUGAAAUCAUUUGAAAUUAAUGAACAGAUUAUGAAACUAACAAAACAUUUCUGGGAAGUGUUUCACAAAGAGUUAUAAACUGACUAGAUGUCAUGCUUAAUUAAACCUAUAAAAGUAUUUAGAGUCUCAUUGAUUGAUACAUGUACUUGUAUGCAGUAUAGUGUAUCCUCUGAUUCUGAUCCAACCAAUAUGGUGAUCUGUUAUUUUCCACACACAAGUGGAAAUUUAAGAGCAAUUUUCAGUCACGCUUAAAAUCUUUGUGAAACGCCUCUUUGAUUUGACUUUUACGUCAUACGUUCUAGGGACAGUGAUAUUCUGUUUACUGGUAAUUCAAAAUUUGUUUUGAUUCUUUACUUUUCAUGCUAAAAUCCAUUGAAUUUACUUUUGAAAAACAAAAUUAAUGUAUUUGCUUUGUACAUUUUCUAUGACAAAAUGGAAUUUCCAUAUUAGAUCAAGUUUAAAACAGAGUUACAGGAUUCCAGAAAGAAAAAACCCCAUGAAUUUGUAAAACUGAAAAUCACUGUCCAUAUUGUCACAUCAGAUAGCUUGGACCUGCCCUAUAAAUGUAGUUUAUGAUUGUACCCUAUACUUGCUUUGUAUUCACAAUCUUAUUUCUCUUUCUUGAAAAUAAAAUGUUAAGACCGGCAGCCAAGAAGAUUCAUUCAAGUUGGAGGACCAGAGCAGCUGACCUCAUUGAUGGAGUAGGCCCUAGACCUCACAAACAUGGUUUCCUGUCUGGUUUGAGCUGGGAUCUUCCUGCCAGAAUCACAUAAUAUGUGAUGUCACUGCCAAGAGAUCUAUUUUUAGUGUGCAGAGAAGGGCACUUGACACUACUAUGCGUGGUAUACAGCAUCUAUGAUGUAAGUGCUUUAUUGAUGAUUUCAGUGAUAUUUUGUGUAGCCUAGAGUAUGUGAGACAAUGCAAUCAUUUUUCCAGCAAUUGUAACUGAGGGAAAUAAUUAGUUUGGAAAUAUUGGGCAGCAAUUUUUAUACAAAUUGGGCUUUUUAUCCACAUUUGCCACAAUUGCACCUUCAUGACAUUCUAUCCAAUCUUUGGAAAGAUAUUCUUUGUAUGAAAAUGUAUCAAAACAAUAUAAUUCGUGAACGCAAUUAGAAAAACUUUUGGGGAUUUAAAAAACAAACCUCCUCUACAGUACAAUACUUGCGUUAUCUGUUGAUCCAUUGAUUGCUGUCUUUCUUUAUAUACCUUUCUGUACUAUCUGCUCUAGCUGCUGCUCUAAAUUCUUCUUUGUUUCACAUUGUCGCAACAUAAUCUGCCAUGACUGAUAUAAUAAUGUGCUAAUAAGACAUAAAGAAAUCAUUUUAAAGGAACUUGAUAUAUAUUUACAGACUUUGAUCUCAUUAUUUUUAAAAUUAACUGCAGAGCCAUGAUAGAGCAGUGUGAAUUAAUUGCAAUAAAUCUACCCCCUAUUUCCGUACAUAUUAAUUUUUCAGACAGACUAAUUUUACUUUUUCAAACUGUUUGGUAUGAUCCCCAUUCACCAUGAACCUAAUUUUUUUUUUGAAAAUGCCGAGUGUGUAUCCAUCGUGUAAACACAGAAUGAGAGAGAUUUAGCCAGACCUGUGUUGGAUGAUAAUGAUAUUGUGAUGAAGGUGGCUUCUCAAUAUCGGUUUGUUUGCCAAAAACUAUAAAAAAAAACUGUUUAAUACUCAACUUUGGAUAAAAAGUUGAACCCGUUUUUAUGAGGAUUGUGUGCUUCAAUGGUUUCUCCACAAUGUGUAAAGGUAAAGAAUGUUCCUUCAAUCACUGCAAUACAAGUUAGUCUGGAAUCUAGUUUUAGAAGUGCAAUACCAAAUUUUGAUUUCUUGCCAGCAAGUGCUAUUUACUUUUCAAGAGCCUUGCCCACUGUAGUGUUUCUAGUUGACCCUUAUUGAUAUUUUGUAGUGUGCCUGUUUUGCACGUUUGUCAAAUUUAUUUGAUGGAGCAGUUCAGCCAAAAUGGCUUUUGGGCUUCCUGAGUGGCACUGAUUAAGAUUGAUCAAGAACUGGUUUGCACUCCAAAGAAGAGAAGAGAGGAACUGUUGACCUAUGUUUGAAGAGAGUGCUGCUCACUUCCGGAGUAUUGUUUCAAUUGCAUGUGACAUUUUUGCAUUUGGUGUUGGAAAAUCUGCAAGUUGAAUAUAAUCCUUUAGAAGUUCAAGUGGUGAUAGCUUAUGAGGGAUCUGUGCCUUGGAUAUAUUUACUAAUACAUGGUGCCUUACAGGUGGUCUGAAUGAUAAUCAUAAUUGUAUUAUAUGGUAGACAUUUCAGCACUGAUCUGCAUGGUUCUUGCUAGCUAAGCUUAUUACCAUCUGGAUUCAUCCACAUUUCAGUCUGUGGGUGGGGCAGUGAUCCACCAGAUUAUCAACCUUCCGAACUCUCCAUCUUCCAUUCUUUCCAUGGUUAAUUGAUCAUUGCAUUAUCUGGUAGUAUUCCCUUGAGGAACAUUCAAGUCAUAGUCAUAUCCUGUGUGAAUGAGAAUGGCAUUUAUUCACUUGGCUGAAUUUAAAAGGGUUGCUGUAUUUGGGAAGGUUUGAUCGAACUUGGCAUAUCUGAUUUUGUUGUCCAGGUUGUCUUUCAGAUUUACAAUUUCUCUGUCCUGUGCUUUGAAAACUUUAUUCAGUACAAACCAGAGCUGCUUUUUGGACCUGAAAAAUGAUCUUAAGUCAGGCUUAACCUACUGUGGUCGUAGAAGAAUGUGACAUACGGGAAGGAGCCAGACAGGGAUGACUCUUUGACACCUGAAAGUCCUGACCAUGAUGAUUACUGAAAGAUGCUUGUAAUUCCUUGAAGAGCCUCAUCAGCAUCCAAACAUGGUGACAUCACCCUCAAGGGGUCAGAGCAAAUGAUUCUUCGAGACUUGACCAUGGCAUGGUAUUCAAUUAAAGAGGAUUGUUGUACCUUGAACAGCCUGAGCAGGAUUUUUGCAUGGAUCAAUAAUUGUGGCAGGGACGAAGGGGCAAAAUCCAGCCUAUAAAGUAUCCCAGUUUUGAAAGUUCAUCCAGUAGUUUCUUGUAUGAGUUUUGGAAGUUCUGUUUGUUGCCAUCUGUGAAAUGGACAUUUCUUCUACGAGAAAAUUGUAGCAGUUGUCAUUGACCUUCUGCCUAAAGCAUUGGAUUCCUACAUCUAGUCUGGAACGAGCUGUGGAAAUUUUCAUUUGGUGCUGUAUCUGAAAUUCCUUUGAUUUUCCUUUUGUUGAAGAAAGUGUUUCAUUCAUUCGGAAAGUAGUUUUGGAAAUUUUAUGGGGUGCCGUCUCAGAAAUUUGACAUUGCACUUCACUACUAGGGAACAUGCAUUGUAUUGUGGUGAUUGAUGGUGCAUUGUGGGAUGUAAGGUGCAUUUCCUCAGGACGAGUCUAUCUUGAGGGUUCGACCUGUUAGAUCUAGAUUCACAAUAUCUUGUCAUUCUGAAUGCAAUAGCUUUGUCUCUCAAAAUUCUGUGGAAAGAAGUGAUGGAUACAUACGCAAACCAAAUCAUUUGGUUCCUCUAUGACGGUGAAUAAAUGAAGGGGAAUCAAUAAAAACAAGAAAGAAAUGAAAAGAAACCACAAAAUUACUUUUUUUCCUUCUGGUUUAUUGCUGAAUGUUAACAAUGCAGUGUUCAUUGAAGUUCAUAGAAACACUAUUGUAUAUGUACAGAAAAACGGUGCAUUUAUUUGCAAAAUUAUUCCAUUUACAUCUGCUCAGGCUCCUGCUCAUUUGAAAAGAAUACCCCCCCCCAAAAAAAAAAAAAGUAAUAAUAAAAAUGACGCAAAAAUACAAUGAUAAAAUGAUGCAAUAGGUUAUUGAUUAAAAAGAAAAAAAUAUAACAUUAGUAAUAAUACUGUAUAAAUGAAAUUAUUAAGAACAUUUUAAUAUCAGUCAUGUUUUUGAAUGUUGAAAUGAUGUGAAAUGAAGGAAGAUUGGCAGAUUUGGGGAGCAUUUCAUGAGAUUUGUCAGUGAUUAUCACCAACUAAUUUGCAUUGACGAAUCGGAUGCAGUGAUUUACAAUAGCUCAUAUCAUCUGUUGGCGAAAAAUUACUGACAAAAAUCUUCAUGAAAUGCUUCCCUGGAUGGAUAGUACAGGGAGGUAUGGAGAGAGACCACAAUUAAUGGAUUAACUGGUAAACUUGUAGAAAGAAAAGGGGAAGAGGGGGGGGGGGGUAGUAAUGAGGAAGGGGGCAGACUAAAGGAAUUAAGGUGGUUUGGUUCCAGGAUGAAUGAGACUACAAAGGAUAACAGACCAAUUCAUAUGGCAAGAUAGAGAAAAGGUGUGGGGGGUGGGUGGGAAAAUCAGUGCAUUGUCUCACAUUCACUUGGCUACACAAAGUAUUCAUGGAACUUGUAAAUAAAGCACUUACAUUAUGGAUGUUGUAUGUCAUACAUGGCAGUGUCCAGUGCCCCACCCUGUACACUUAAAAAUAGGUUGAUUGGUAGCGAUGUCAUGUAUUGUAUGAUUUUGUCAAGGAGACCCCAGCUCAGGGCUGCUGGCCAUUUUGUGAGGAUUAGGGUUUGCUCCAUUGAAUCAAGAGGUCAGAUGCUUUGGCAACCUCUAUACUUGAAUGAAUCUUCUUGGCUGCCGGUCAUUU